GCGCCUGUAGCUCAACGGAUAGAGCACCUGGCUUCGGACCAGGGGGUUGUGGGUUCGAAUCCUGCCAGGCGCA
This 73-nucleotide transfer RNA is filed under the name Candidatus Campbelliibacteriota bacterium. RNAcentral's name for it is "Candidatus Campbellbacteria bacterium tRNA-Arg". It matches the Rfam family "tRNA". Rfam says of the family: Transfer RNA (tRNA) molecules are approximately 80 nucleotides in length. Lineage: Bacteria; Candidatus Campbelliibacteriota. The record is from RNAcentral.